CCCACGGGAGAGAGCACUGCGGUCACCACGCCGCAGGGCCGCCGAAGGAGCAACCGCCCCGGAAACUCUCAGGCACCCAGAACCGUAGG
This 89-nucleotide non-coding RNA is filed under the name marine eukaryotic metagenome. RNAcentral describes it as "Glycine riboswitch". It matches the Rfam family "Glycine riboswitch aptamer", at positions 10 to 85 of the family's 94-position model. From Rfam's summary of the family: This family represents the bacterial glycine riboswitch. Glycine riboswitches usually consist of two metabolite-binding aptamers domains with similar structures in tandem. The aptamers cooperatively bind glycine to regulate the expression of downstream genes. The record is from RNAcentral.